CUUUCCUUGAUGACGACUGGCGCACGGGUGAGUAACGCGUAUCCAACCUUCCCAUAACUACGGGAUAACCCGUUGAAAGACGGCCUAAUACCGUAUGACAUCGUUUGCUGACAUCAAAUAACGAUUAAAGGUUUAGCGGUUAUGGAUGGGGAUGCGUCUGAUUAGCUUGUUGGCGGGGUAACGGCCCACCAAGGCGACGAUCAGUAGGGGUUCUGAGAGGAAGGUCCCCCACAUUGGAACUGAGACACGGUCCAA
Molecule: ribosomal RNA, 255 nt
Filed under: uncultured Bacteroidales bacterium
Lineage: Bacteria; Pseudomonadati; Bacteroidota; Bacteroidia; Bacteroidales
Description: partial 16S ribosomal RNA
Rfam family: Bacterial small subunit ribosomal RNA
Source: RNAcentral